UACAGAGGUCUCAAGCGUUGUUCGGAUUCAUUGGGCGUAAAGGGUGCGUAGGCGGCGCGGUAAGUCGGGUGUGAAAGCCCUCAGCUCAACUGAGGAGGUGCGCCCGAAACUGCAGAGCUUGAGUACCGGAGAGGAUGGUGGAAUUCCCCAAGUAGAGGUGAAAUUCGUAGAUAUGGGGAGGAACACCGGUGGCGAAGGCGGUUCUCUGGGCCUUACCUGACGCUGAGGAGCGAAAGCAUGGGGAGCAAACAGG
This 253-nucleotide ribosomal RNA is filed under the name uncultured bacterium. Its description in RNAcentral is "partial 16S ribosomal RNA". It matches the Rfam family "Bacterial small subunit ribosomal RNA", at positions 524 to 776 of the family's 1533-position model. The record is from RNAcentral.